UACGAAGGGGGCUAGCGUUGCUCGGAAUCACUGGGCGUAAAGGGUGCGUAGGCGGGUUGACAAGUCACUUGUGAAAUCUCCGGGCUUAACUCGGAACGGCCAAGUGAAACUGUCAUGCUAGAGUGCAGAAGGGGCAAUCGGAAUUCUUGGUGUAGCGGUGAAAUGCGUAGAUAUCAAGAGGAACACCUGAGGUGAAGACGGGUUGCUGGGCUGACACUGACGCUGAGGCGCGAAAGCCAGGGGAGCGAACGGG
RNAcentral lists this ribosomal RNA (253 nucleotides) under uncultured bacterium. RNAcentral's name for it is "partial 16S ribosomal RNA". It matches the Rfam family "Bacterial small subunit ribosomal RNA", at positions 524 to 776 of the family's 1533-position model. The record is from RNAcentral.